This 491-nucleotide ribosomal RNA is filed under the name Porphyra umbilicalis (laver). RNAcentral's name for it is "SSU rRNA". It matches the Rfam family "Eukaryotic small subunit ribosomal RNA", at positions 527 to 1040 of the family's 1831-position model. Lineage: Eukaryota; Rhodophyta; Bangiophyceae; Bangiales; Bangiaceae. The record is from RNAcentral.
UUAAAUCCCUUAUCGAGGAUCCAUUGGARGGCAAUUCUGGUGCCAGCAGCCGCGGUAAUUCCAGCUCCAAUAGCGUAUAUUAAAGUUGUUGCAGUUAAAACGCUCGUAGUCGGAUUUCGAAGCACGCUCACGGGGGCGGUUUUUGCUGUUUCUGUGAGGGUGUCUUCUUUUUCUGGGACGCGUUGUGCGGGACUUGAUUGUCUCUGCAACAUCUGCGGGCCGGACGUUUACUGUGAARAAAUUAGGGUGUUCAAAGCAGGCGUUUGCUAUGAAUACGUGAGCAUGGAAUAAUAGAAUAGGACUUGACCUCUAUUUUGUUGGUUUCCGGAGAACAAGUAAUGAUUAAUAGGGACAGUUGGGGGCAUUCGUAUUUCAUUGUCAGAGGUGAAAUUCUUGGAUUGAUGGAAGACGAACAAUCUGCCAAGGAUGUUUUCAUUGAUCAAGAACGAAAGUUAGGGGAUCGAAGACGAUCAGAUACCGUCGUAUCUUAA